Molecule: unclassified non-coding RNA, 242 nt
Filed under: uncultured fungus
Lineage: Eukaryota; Fungi
Description: sequence contains ITS1, 5.8S rRNA gene
Rfam family: 5.8S ribosomal RNA (bases 194-242)
Source: RNAcentral
UCUCCGUAGGUGAACCUGCGGAGGGAUCAUUACAGAGUAUCAUGCCCUUCGGGGUAGAUCUCCCACCCUGUGUAUUGUAUACCUUUUGUUGCUUUGGCGGGCCGCCUCGGCCACCGGCUCCGGCUGGUGCGUGCCCGCCAGAGGACCCCAAACUCUGAAUGUUAGUGUCGUCUGAGUACUAUCUAAUAGUUAAAACUUUCAACAACGGAUCUCGGGGUUCUGGCAUCGAUGAAGAACGCAGC